Molecule: ribosomal RNA, 501 nt
Filed under: uncultured bacterium
Lineage: Bacteria
Description: partial 16S ribosomal RNA
Rfam family: Bacterial small subunit ribosomal RNA
Source: RNAcentral
AUUGAACGCUGGCGGAAUGCUUUACACAUGCAAGUCGAACGGCAGCACGGACUUCGGUCUGGUGGCGAGUGGCGAACGGGUGAGUAAUGUAUCGGAACGUGCCCAGUCGUGGGGGAUAACGUAGUGAAAAUUACGCUAAUACCGCAUACGAUCUAUGGAUGAAAGCGGGGGAUCGCAAGACCUCGCGCGAUUGGAGCGGCCGAUAUCAGAGUUAGGUAGUUGGUGGGGUAAAGGCCCACCAAGCCAACGAUCUGUAGCUGGUCUGAGAGGACGAUCAGCCACACUGGAACUGAGACACGGUCCAGACUCCUACGGGAGGCAGCAGUGGGGAAUUUUGGACAAUGGGCGAAAGCCUGAUCCAGCCAUUCCGCGUGCAGGAUGAAGGCCCUCGGGUUGUAAACUGCUUUUGUACAGAACGAAAAGGUUUCUACUAAUGCUAGGAGCUCAUGACGGUACUGUAAGAAUAAGCACCGGCUAACUACGUGCCAGCCGCCGCCGUAA